GACGAACGCUGGCGGCGUGCUUAACACAUGCAAGUCGAACGCUGAAGCUCAGCUUUUGUUGGGUGGAUGAGUGGCGAACGGGUGAGUAACACGUGAGUAACCUGCCCCCUUCUUUGGGAUAACGCCCGGAAACGGGUGCUAAUACUGGAUAUUCACUGGUCUUCGCAUGGGGGUUGGUGGAAAGGGUUUUUCUGGUGGGGGAUGGGCUCGCGGCCUAUCAGCUUGUUGGUGGGGUGAUGGCCUACCAAGGCUUUGACGGGUAGCCGGCCUGAGAGGGUGACCGGUCACAUCGGGACUAAGAUACGGCCCAGACUCCUACGGGAGGCAGAAGUGGGGAAUAUUGCACAAUGGGCGCAAGCCUGAUGCAGCGACGCCGCGUGAGGGAUGGAGGCCUUCGGGUUGUGAACCUCUUUCGCUCAUGGUCAAGCCGCAACAAUGGUUGUGGUGAGGGUAGUGGGUAAAGAAGCGCCGGCUAACUACGUG
Molecule: ribosomal RNA, 483 nt
Filed under: uncultured bacterium
Lineage: Bacteria
Description: partial 16S ribosomal RNA
Rfam family: Bacterial small subunit ribosomal RNA
Source: RNAcentral